Molecule: non-coding RNA, 21 nt
Organism: Caenorhabditis elegans
Lineage: Eukaryota; Metazoa; Nematoda; Chromadorea; Rhabditida; Rhabditidae
Source: Ensembl
UGAUAUCCGUGCUAAAAAAGU